UACGUAGGGUGCAGCGUUAAUCGGAAUUACUGGGCGUAAAGCGUGCGCAGGCGGUGAUGUAAGACAGAUGUGAAAUCCCCGGGCUCAACCUGGGAACUGCAUUUGUGACUGCAUCGCUGGAGUGCGGCAGAGGGGGAUGGAAUUCCGCGUGUAGCAGUGAAAUGCGUAGAUAUGCGGAGGAACACCGAUGGCGAAGGCAAUCCCCUGGGCCUGCACUGACGCUCAUGCACGAAAGCGUGGGGAGCAAACAGG
This 252-nucleotide ribosomal RNA is filed under the name uncultured bacterium. Its description in RNAcentral is "partial 16S ribosomal RNA". It matches the Rfam family "Bacterial small subunit ribosomal RNA", at positions 524 to 776 of the family's 1533-position model. The record is from RNAcentral.